This 1988-nucleotide ribosomal RNA is filed under the name marine metagenome. RNAcentral's name for it is "bacterial LSU rRNA". It matches the Rfam family "Bacterial large subunit ribosomal RNA", at positions 483 to 2471 of the family's 2925-position model. The record is from RNAcentral.
ACCGAUAGUGAACUAGUACCGUGAGGGAAAGGUGAAAAGAACCCCGAGAGGGGAGUGAAAUAGAACUGAAACCAUAAACCUACAAACCGUGGGAGCUUGUAUUUAUAUGAGUGACCGCGUGCCUAUUGAAGAAUGAGCCAACGAGUUACUUGGUACGGCAAGAUUAAGAAGUUAAGCUUUGAAGUCGAAGCGAAAGCAAGUCUGAAUAGGGCGAAUUAGUCGUGUCAAGUAGACCCGAAACCGUGUGAGCUACCUAUGGCCAGGUUGAAGCGAGAGUAAAAUCUUGUGAAGGACCGAACCCGUGUACGCUGCAAAGUGCUGGGAUGAGCUGUGGGUAGAGGUAAAAUGCCAAACGAACACGGAGAUAGCUGGUUCUCUCCGAAAUGUAUUUAGGUACAGCGUUAUGUAAUACUUCAUGGAGGUAGAGCACUGGAUAGACUAGGGGGCGCAAGCUUACCAAACCUAACCAAACUCCGAAUACCAUGAAGGGUAUCAUAGCAGUGAGACUGUGGGGGAUAAGCUCCAUUGUCGAAAGGGAAACAGCCCAGAUCGCAAGUUAAGGUCCCUAAGUAUAUGCUAAGUGUUAAACGAAGUAGGGUCGCCCAGACAGCCAGGAGGUUGGCUUAGAAGCAGCCAUCCUUUAAAGAGUGCGUAAUAGCCCACUGGUCAAGGGGCCCCGCACGGAAAAUAAACGGGGCUAAGCAUAUCACCGAGACUGCGGGAUCUAUUUAUAGAUCGGUAGGAGAGUGUCGUUAAAGCAUUGAAGCUAAGCUGUAAGGCUUGGUGGAGUUUUAACAAGUAAGAAUGUUGGCAUGAGUAGCAAAAAUGCCGGUGAGAAUCCGGCAGGCCGUAAGUCUAAGGAUUCCUACGCAACGUUGAUCGGCGUAGGGUUAGUCGGUCCUAAGGCGUAUCCGAAAGGAAAAGUCGAUGGACAGCUGGUGAAUAUUCCAGCACCUAUAAUUAAUUGUUUGAGUCAAAGGGGUGACGCAGAAAGAUAAACAGAGCAUACGUACUGGACAUCGUGUGUUUUUGCCUGUAGAUGAGUAGAGAAGGUUAAAAUAUUUUCUACGUUUGAAUUGAGGGGUGAGAAAACUAUGAGGUUCGCCUCGUAGAAUUCUGUCGACUCUAAACUGCCAAGAAAAGCCUCGUUGAUUAGAUUUUUCAUAGACCGUACCGCAAACCAACACAGGUAGACAGGGAUAAACGUCCCAAGGCCAUCGAGAGAACCAUCGUUAAGGAACUCGGCAAAUUGACCCCGUAACUUAGGGAGAAGGGGGACCUUCUGUGUAUAUGAGUUUACCUCAAAAAGCGUGGAAGGUAGCAUAAAAUAGGCUGAAGCGACUGUUUACCAAAAACACAGGUCCAUGCCAAAGCGAAAGCUGAUGUAUAUGGGCUGACGCCUGCCCAGUGCCGGUAGGUUAAGGAAAGUUGUGCAAGCAACUGACUGAAGCCCCGGUGAACGGCGGCCGUAACUAUAACGGUCCUAAGGUAGCGAAGUCCCUUGUCGGGUAAGUUCCGACCCGCACGAAUGGCGUAACGACUUCAGCACUGUCUCAACGAUGGACUCGGUGAAAUUGCAGGACCGGUAAAGAUGCCGGUUACGCGCAGCAGGACAAAAAGACCCCGUGGAGCUUUACUGCAACUUGGCAUUGGUUCGAGUUUUAAAAUGUGUAGGAUAGGCGGGAGACUUUGAACUCUAGGCGUCAGCCUAGGGGGAGUCGCCCUUGAAAUACCGCCCUUUUUAUGAUUUGGACCUAACACUUUUGGACAGUGUCUGGUGGGCAGUUUGACUGGGGCGGUCGCCUCCCAAAGAGUAACGGAGGCGUACAAAGGUCACCUCAGGCUGGAUGGAAAUCAGCUUUUGAGUGCAUUGGCAUAAGGUGGCUUGACUGCGAGACAUACAAGUCGAGCAGGGACGAAAGUCGGUCAAAGUGAUCCCACGGUUCCGAGUGGAAGGGCCGUGGCUUAACGGAUAAAAGCUACCCCGG